This 252-nucleotide ribosomal RNA is filed under the name Triticum aestivum (bread wheat). Its description in RNAcentral is "partial small subunit ribosomal RNA". The record is from RNAcentral. Lineage: Eukaryota; Viridiplantae; Streptophyta; Magnoliopsida; Poales; Poaceae.
AUGGUCACGCUGAAGUUACUCGUCAGUCGUCUAAUGGAACAUGUGGCUAUGUCCAGAGAGAAUUUCUAUCGUCUGAAAUGGGAUAAAGCAUACUUCUUAACUCCUGAAGAAUACUUUUCAAGUGUUGUUUCUGGGGGUGGUUCCUGUCGGCAACAGGGACACAACAGGACAACCUGCCUGGAUCAUGGAGAUGUUCCAAAACAGCCUCGAAUACCUGCUCGGUGCAAGAACUGUAGUGUCAUGGGUCACUGA